UUUGCCUUUCUGUGCCCUUCCAGAGGCCCCAAGUCAUGUGAUACUUUGGGUGCCAAGAAGCCCUUUGUCACCAGGCUUCUCCUUAAUUUCAUUCUCUUCAUGCCUUCUAGAAAGCUUACCCUCACAACUGGCUUAAGAUAUUUUGUUACGUGAGGAGAAUUCCACAUACACCAAGAUCAUCAGAAGUUGGACCUGGAUGGAAAGGGUCUCAGGAGGAGGAAGGCCUGCAGUUCAGCCUCUAUGGUGAGAGACCAAAAUGGAGGCACCGAGUGAGAGGUAAGAAGAAGAAAAUGGAUCUCAGCUUAUGACAGGAGUGUGCCAGCAGCACCAUAAUCACGUGAUUUGUGAUGCAUCUGGUCCUGCACAAAGUGAACCAAAACGGGUCUUUGGAUUGACCAUACCCUUGUAUGUGUAACAUGCAUUUUGUGAUCACUCUCACCACCUUCGAGUAUCAGCAGUAAUCCAAUGAACUGUGAAGAUGCAGCAUCAAAGAACGGAAAGUGAGCGUCCACUGAUCCCUACGGAGAGAAAGAAAGCAUUUGAGAAGCCACAUCCAUUUUAAGCACAGGUUGCUUUGAUGUCUUACGCCUUCUGGGAGGUGCCUGCGUUUUCAAAGAGUCAGAACAAGAAGAGGACAGAUAAAGAUUGCUUUCCUAUUGAGGAAACUCCUGGCACCACAGGGCAGGCUCUAUGAGGAGGGAGAUCCUUUGCAGAGUAACCCCUGCCCUAAUGAAAGAAUAAUCAUGGAAGGCAUUUGUGUAGAGAUUCCCAGUUUACACAACAAUCUCACCUCUGCUUCCUCAUCGAAUCAGCACAAGCCACCUGUGGAUGAAGUGCGACUGUUUUACCAUCUGCAUUUUCAAGAUGAGGACACAGAGGUCCUGGGUGGCUCCCUGACUUGCCUCAGUUGGCAGAGUUAGGCCCUGACUCCAGUCCUGGGCUCUUUCCCUAGGACAGCUCUGCUGCCUCCUCCCAUUUGGGAAGCCAGUCCUGCUGAUUACUCAAGGCGCAGGCGUUUGAACACCGCCUUUGCAGAAAUGGCACAAGCAAGACGGCUGGUUUUUCUGACUUUUUCUCCUUGGGAAUAAAGGAAUGGUUGUAGCAGAACCGUCAGCUCUCAAUGCGCUCUUUGUUUAGGUAAAUUCCAGAGUUUUUAUGAACGAUGAUUCCAGUGAGAGCUGCUUUUCCCCCCUGGUAGUUAUGGUCAAAAGGUUGAAGUUUCAGCCGUGCCUGGUAUUUCUCCAGAAAACUCUUGGCCAUAUGCACUUUGAGUUUCAGACCCCCGGAUCAGUGAGCAUGAAAGAUUGCUGCAAAGAUAUGAGAAGCUCCAGACUAAGCAAGUACUACAGAAGAAAUCUUUAUUUUUAAUGGGUAAUUUUUUUCCUUGUCGAAAUCUUCAGUGACACAAUUUUUUAAAGCACAAAAAAGUAAACAUGAAAGUUAUUAAUUGCUGGGGGAAAAGACUGUCUUUUUUCAAUCGUAUUUACAUAGAGCCAAGUUGUCUGAUUUUGCUAAUACACUCAUACUAAGACUAGCCGGUGUGAUAGCAGACGUUAUAAGCUCUCAGUACAUACGUAUUUACUGAAUGAAUGAAUGUCCUUUAAUUUGGGGCCAAGAAAUCCUCCAACAGAAGGAACAAGAUAACUACCUCUGGGAUUGUCCUUCAUUAUUGCUGACUCCUGGGCAAUACCAGCAAACAAUGAUGAGGUUAUUGUUUACCACUGUCAGGGAGAUCACCACCUUGACCUAGCCUUAGUAGCAUCUCCAAGGGGGAAGAGCCAAAAUGGGACAUUUAUGAGGUUUGGAAUCUGCUUUAAGGCAGGUUUUUUUAAUACAGGAACUGUGUUUCAUAGAGUUUUCAAUGGCUGUUUUUUUCUUUUUUUCUGGAAGUAGAUCACCAGGCCUUUCUCCCAAGACACCUCUAGAUAGACUCGAACUUCCAAUUUUUGGGUUAGCAGCCAAGUGCAUUAACUAUUUGCACCAUUCAGCAACCUGUUCUCUGACACACAUCGGUUGCCAUAAGUCAGAGUCAACUCAUUGGCAGCUGGCUGGUUGGUUCAAUGCAGGUGUUUGAUUACAGUUGGGCAAGGAUAGUGAUAUAACAGUUUAGAAUUAGGGGAUACAGCAAGACGAACGUUUUGAGAAAAGAGUUUUUUAAGUCUUGGAAAACAAUUAUGUGAUCAGUGGCAUCACUAGGAGCUGCAGAGAGUAAGGAUCACACCAGGUAAUGCUGUCAGAAGGGGUGACACCAAAAUGACUAUAAGAUUUUUGUGCAGUGUUUCAGCAGAUAUUUAUUAUUUUUAAUAAAAAUAUCCCUGUAGUUAUAACAACAAAAACAUUUUUCUGAAGGCCAACUUACAUGUAUUAAUACACUUACAAGGCUAAAACUCUAUGCUAAUUUACUUUUUGAACAAACGAAGCUUUGGUGGUACAGUAGUUAGGCGUUAAAGCUGCUAACAGAAGGUCGGCACUUUGAAUCCCCCAGCUGCACCUUGGGAACCCUAUGGGGCUGUUCUAAUCUGUCCUAUAAGGUCGCUAUGAGUCCGGAACCGACUCAAAGGCAACGGGUUUGGUUUCUUUGGAAAGUGCUCCAGACAAAGCUGUGAUUACUACCUAAUUACAAUGAUGCCUGAAAUCACGUGGUUUUAUUUGCACACACUACAAGCAUGCCACUGUUGUCCUCUUUGCUACCUAUGUUUUUAUAGUCAGUGAUUUUGUCAAAUUUUCUGGCGUUUUAGCCACAAUAUUGUAUUAAUUAUUAUUUGGGGACCUAUAUCAAUAAUUUUUUUCUGAGAACGAAGUAGUAAUUAAAGGAAAAGAAGGAGUGGUAUAUGGAAAUUACGAUUAUGGGUAACAUUAGUACAAAAAACGUCACUAAGAAUUCUGUGUGGUUUGGUAGGGGAAGAGGUCCAUGGGGGGGUGACACCAUGAGUUACCACACUGAGUGACACCAACCCUAGUGACGCCACUGUAUGUGAUGCUGAGUUUUUCCAAAGUGAUUUGCAACUUUUAUUACCCUGAACAACUUUUAUUACCCUGGACUCAAAAAGUCACGGUGAUGACAACGAUGGAAUAAUCAGAUCAAAUAACUGAAUAUAGCCAAGUAGUACAUUCAUAUCAGUGCAGACCAGGGGAUGGCAAGCUGGAGUCCAAAGGCCGUUUCCAACUUGUGGCCUGUGUUUGUAAAUAAAACUUUAUUGGAACACAAUCAUUCUCAUUCCUUUAAGUGUUAUCUGAGGGUGCUUUCAUACUACAAAGGUAGAGUUGAGUAGUUGUGAAGAGAAAUUCUACUCUGUCCUAUAGGGUUGUUAUGAGUGGGAAUUGACUCAAUGGCAAGGGAUUUAUUUUUGGGGGGUUUAAAAAAAUUUUUUUUUUUUUUAAAGCCUAAAAUAUUUCCUAUCUGAUUAGCACUUUACAGAAAAAAUUUGCCAACCCCUGAUGUACAUGCUAAGCUGUGUGGAGUUAGGUGGUUUCAUUUCUCAUGUAUUUAUCCAUUCACAAGUACUUGCUAAGCACCUACUGUUUGCAAGGCAAUUUUCUAGGUGUUGAGAAUACAGCAUUCAACAAGGCACACAUCUGCUCUCAUGGAAACAAACCAAUAAAUAAUACAGAGCAGGUAGAGCUAAGUGCUAUGAAGAAAAAUUAGGCGUGGAAAAAGCAUAGGUAGGUACAGGGUUGGUGCAGGGGAGCUGUUUGGGAAGUAUAGUCAAAGAAGGCCUCUCUGAAGAGUUGACCUUUAAGUGAAAGCUAUGUGAAUGUGAACAGGAAGCAAAUGACGACGUGGAGACAGAAUGCAGACUUCGAGAAGAGCUUUCCAGGCAGAGGAAGAGAAAUGCAAAAAUCCAGAGGCUGGAACGACACAAGGUGUUGAUAAUAACAAGCAGGCCGGUGCAGCCAGAGCAAAGGGAGUAAAUGGCAGAGUAGAGAGAGCUGAAACUGGAGAGGUAGCAAGGGCCACUGUAGCCACAGAGCCUGAUGGGCGGUGGCAGUGUUUGAAUUCUAUUCUGAAUGUGAUGGAGGGUUUUAAGUGAGAAAGUGACAGGGUAUGAUUUACAUUUUAAAGCUUCACUCUGGCUGUCAUGUAGAGAAUUGAGGGUAGAAGGACAAAGUGGUUGCAGGGAUGCUACCACAGGAGAAAAACCAUGCUGAGUUUACGCAGCAGGAUUAGUGGGUGGUGGGUGCCCAUUGGUGAGACUCGGAUGGAUUUUAAAGGCAUGGCUACUAAGACCUGCUAGUGAGUUUUAUGUGGGGCAGGAAAGACAGGAGUCAGGAAGGUUUUUCAUUUAAAUGCCUGGGUGAAUAGUGAUACCAUCUACUCAGGUGGGGAAGCCUGGGAGGCAAGCAACUGUGAAAUCAAGAGUUCAU
Long non-coding RNA from Loxodonta africana (African savanna elephant), 4365 nucleotides. RefSeq lists it as uncharacterized. The transcript is spliced from 3 exons. The record is from RefSeq and is a predicted model, not a curated record. NCBI's taxonomy places the organism in Eukaryota, Metazoa, Chordata, Mammalia, Proboscidea, Elephantidae.